CAGAGGGGGCAAGCGUUGUUCGGAAUUACUGGGCGUAAAGGGCGCGUAGGUGGCCCGCUAAGUCGAACGUGAAAUCCCCGAGCUCAACUCGGGAACUGCGUCCGAUACUGGCGGGCUUGAAUCCGGGAGAGGGAUGCGGAAUUCCAGGUGUAGCGGUGAAAUGCGUAGAUAUCUGGAGGAACACCGGUGGCGAAGGCGGCAUCCUGGACCGGCAUUGACGCUGAGGCGCGAAAGCUAGGGGAGCAAACGGGAUUAGAUACCCCGGUAGUCCUAGCCCUAAACGAUGAAUGCUUGGUGUGGCGGGUAUCGAUCCCUGCCGUGCCGAAGCUAACGCAUUAAGCAUUCCGCCUGGGGAGUACGGUCGCAAGGCUG
This 372-nucleotide ribosomal RNA is filed under the name uncultured organism. RNAcentral describes it as "bacterial SSU rRNA". It matches the Rfam family "Bacterial small subunit ribosomal RNA", at positions 526 to 896 of the family's 1533-position model. The record is from RNAcentral.